AACGAACACUGGCGGCAUGCCUAACACAUGCAAGUCGAACGAGACCUUCGGGUCUAGUGGCGCACGGGUGCGUAACGCGUGGGAACCUGCCCUUAGGUUCGGAAUAACUCCCCGAAAGGGGUGCUAAUACCGGAUAAUGUCUUCGGACCAAAGAUUUAUCGCCUUUGGAUGGGCCCGCGUUGGAUUAGCUAGUUGGUAGGGUAAAAGCCUACCAAGGCUACGAUCCAUAGCUGGUCUGAGAGGAUGAUCAGCCACACUGGGACUGAGACACGGCCCAGACUCCUACGGGAGGCAGCAGUGGGGAAUAUUGGACAAUGGGCGAAAGCCUGAUCCAGCAAUGCCGCGUGAGUGAUGAAGGCCUUAGGGUUGUAAAGCUCUUUUACCCGGGAUGAUAAUGACAGUACCGGGAGAAUAAGCUCCGGCUAACUCCGUG
RNAcentral lists this ribosomal RNA (433 nucleotides) under uncultured bacterium. RNAcentral's name for it is "partial 16S ribosomal RNA". It matches the Rfam family "Bacterial small subunit ribosomal RNA", at positions 29 to 507 of the family's 1533-position model. The record is from RNAcentral.